GAAGAAGAAGAAGGGAGAGCUGGAGACAAAGGAGCUGCAGAUCUGAAUAUCCAGUGAGCUUGGAGCCAUGAAGCUGCCAUGCACUGAUCUUUAAAAGGAAUUGGCCAGGUGAUUUCCCCUAUUGGGGUUAAAGGAUGGCGAGCUUCUAAGAUCUGGCUGGAGCCAGGAGAACCGAAUUUCACUCCAUACUGGUCUGGUAGGAGUUUGAUGGUCCAUGAACUUUCCCCUCCUUCUCAUUACACAGACACACUACCCAGACACUGUGUUGACCAAGCGGGGAAAAGUGAAGGACUCUGUGCACAUUAGAACAUCAACUGCAGUAUUGUGUAUAUAUUUAUUGUAUUUUGGUUUCCAUGUAUGUUUUGUAUUGUUUAUUUAAUUUUCUUCUUUAAAAAAAAUACAUAGUAUUGAAAACAGUUACUCUCUUGUAUUGUUUUAUUGAUUGCUGACGACAGCUCCAGCAGACCAAUUUAGUUUUCUGAUGUCAGAAGCUAUUUAGUCCUUCAGUGCAUUAAGUACUGCUACAUUAUAAACAUCAAAUAGUGCUACAUCUACAAUUUAAAAAUGAAUGUUAUGCCGACAUCCUGUCACCAGAGGGCGCUGUUACAUAAAAUGAAAGAUGAGGUCAUUUUAUUUCUGUCACAUUUUCAGCGUGGUCAGCUGGUUGUUGAGCCUCAGGACUUCCUGUCCUUCAUGUUUUCAGGUUUUAACACACCAGUGAGCUUUAUGGGUCAGGACUGAUGAACUCUGAGGUUUGGUCAGAAUCAGAUUCCUUACUCCGAACCUCAGCUCCAGCCUCCUGCUAGAAUAACAACAUAAACUCCUGAAAUACUUUCUGGCUUUCAGAUAUGAAUUAUUGAACCAAAAUCAUUUUCCUCCCCUCUGGAGCUCCAGGGAAAAAUCUGACCAGAGGUUUGAGUUUUAGUCUCUAAGGUCAGCAGCUUCCUGUUGCUUUAUAAUUAAAUGGGUCAUUAGCUGGAUUCUGUGGAAUUCUGGGUAAUGUAGUCCUGCUGCAGCAGAGGAACAUCUCAGACAUGCAUGGGGUCAGAGGUCAUGGGGUGUCAGUGUGUUUCAUGAGAGUUAAAAAACAAAAACAGCUCAGAGGAGUCCAGCUCUGGUUCUGACUGAUGCUGCAGGUUCUGGUUCUGGUUCAGCCUGGUUCUCUGGUCCAGAGGAACAUGAAGCUGAUCAGUUGAGUCCAGUAGUUUGAUUUGAUCUCAGACCUCACCUUCCCUCAGGUGAAGCCGUCCUGUCCUGCUCAGGCUCUCACCUGUAGCCCCACCCACUCACAGCUCCGGCCAGUUGAAAAACGGUGUGACUGUGACAUCACUUGUUAACUGGCAGAGUUCAGCUGAGGCUGCUGAUUAAAUGUUGAUGCAUUAUAUUAUAUUUCUCUGAGAAAAGCCAUUUCUCUCUGUAAAACCUGGACUGGAUCAAAGUUAGGACUGGACUGAAUUUAGUUGUUUCUUAGUAAAAACUGAAUUGGAUUUGUGUGAAAACUGAACUGAACCCUGUGAAGAUACUUGAUUACUGUCCAUGAUUAAAGUCCUCAUUGUUUGUUGUUUUUAUGUGUUUUUAUUUAUGCUUUUGUUUUUUUGCUGCUGUGACACAUUUAGGUGAUAAAUGUGGGUUGAACAAGAACAUCAGCACAGGAAGAGGGUGGGCUCAGACUUCACUUAGUUUCUAGUAAAAAAAACGUAAAACUGCUCAAUGAGUCAGAGCUGCAAUGACGGAAACAUCGUUUCACUGUCUGACCUUCUUGACCUACUUGCAGGUUUGUCCAACCAUUCAAGCUGCUCUGACUGUGAGUCCCAGCAGAUCUCAGUUCUUUAGAGGAGAAUCAGUGACUCUGAUCUGUGAGGAUGAAAAUAGACCUGAUGGAUGGACUGUGAGGAGAAACACAAGCAGAGGAACCAGGAACCGAUGUGGAGAUGGAUGGGGGAAAUUAAAUGGUUCUACCUGCAGCAUCAGUUACCUGUAUCCAUCAGAUACUGGUCUGUACUGGUGUGAGUCCAUGUCUGGAUCCUCCAGCAGCAGCAGCAGCAUCCAGCUCUCUGUCUCUGAGGAACCCUCCAUCCCUUCUACCCAAACUCCCCUUGCUGCCCAGGCCUCCUCCUCUCUUCUUCUCUACGUGUUGUUGCCUCUUGCGUCUCUGUUUGUUCUGAUUAUGUUCGUUUUUCUGGGACGGCGCCUUUGCAACAAGUCAAGAGAUCAGAAAGAACUGAUGAGCGACGGCAGCGAGACCUGCGACCAUGUCACAACAUCAGGUCAUCAUGAGGAGAACCAGAGGAGAAAAGGUUCUGAUGGAACCAGGUUCAACACAACUUCACUGUUCUCACCUGGAAAACAGGUUUCAACAGAGAUUCAGCUGCAGUCGACUCAACAGUGAGACGACAAGACAGCAGUUAUGGAGAAAUAUUCAUCAAACAUAUGCAUCACAAGUCAGACACAACAGAGAGCGAUUCAGCUGUGAUUUAUUCAGCUGUCAGAACAGACCGAUAAUCAGAGAAAACAGAAACAGAGCCACAUCAUCUCCUCCUCACUGAGAAAAUCUGCUGAAGUUCUGCUGCAGAAGUUAGAUUCUUCCUCUUGCCUUCAGCAAGCCGUAGAUCUCAGGAGCCAAAUCAUCAUCAUCACCUGAAAUGAUGAAGAAGCGUCUGCUGCACGUCUUCCAGCUCACUGACAAACACAGAGAGGUUUGUCCUGCUGGCUGGAGGCCUGAGAGACACAAUCAUCCCGACGUGGAGAAGAAGAAGAAGAAGAAGAGCAAAGCAGGAAAUCCCAAGAUCUUGUGUCAGCAGAUUGUUCUUGGUUCUGGAUUGGAGGUUUCCCUGUGAAAGACUACAGAUCUGAUCCACUAGAACAAACUGAUCUGCUUCCUCUUCAGGUUUUAUCCUUCUCUGUUCAGGCUGCAGUUGAUGGAAAACCUCUUAGUUUCACUGAAACUACUUUAGUUUGACUCCUUUUUUGUUUUUCAGAAAAUGAUAUUUUUCCUUUGCUGUCAUUUGCUACCAUCUCUAUUAAAACUGUGGA
RNA transcript from Xiphophorus maculatus (southern platyfish), 3033 nucleotides. RefSeq lists it as uncharacterized. The record is from RefSeq and is a predicted model, not a curated record. The transcript is spliced from 10 exons. Lineage: Eukaryota; Metazoa; Chordata; Actinopteri; Cyprinodontiformes; Poeciliidae.